This 1078-nucleotide ribosomal RNA is filed under the name uncultured bacterium. RNAcentral describes it as "bacterial SSU rRNA". It matches the Rfam family "Bacterial small subunit ribosomal RNA", at positions 46 to 1121 of the family's 1533-position model. The record is from RNAcentral.
GCCUACAAUUGCAUGUCGAACGGUAGCACAGAGAGCUUGCUCUCGGCGUGAGGAGUGGCGGACGGGUGAGUAAUGUCUGGGAGACUGCCUGAUGGAGGGGGAUAACUACUAGGAAACGGUAGCUAAUACCGCAUAAUGUCGCAUGACCAAAGAGGGGGACCUUCGGGCCUCUUGCCAUCAGAUGUGCCCAGAUGGGAUUAGCUAGUAUGUGGGGUAACGGCUCACCUACGCGACGAUCCCUAGCUGGUCUGAGAGGAUGACCAGCCACACUGGAACUGAAACACGGUCCGCACUCCUACGGGAGGCAGCAGUGGGGAAUAUUGCACAAUGGGCGCAGGCCUGAUGCAGCCAUGCCGCGUGUAUGAAGAAGGCCUUCGGGUUGUAAAGUACUUUCAGCGGGGAGGAAGGUGUUGUGAUUAAUAACCGCAGCAAUUGACGUUACCCGCAGAAGAUCACCGGGUAACUCCGUGCCAGCACCGCGGUAUACGGAGGGUGACGCGUUAAUCGGAAUUACUGGGCGUAAAGCGCCAGCGGCGGUCUGUCCAGUCGGAUGUGAAAUCCCCGGGCUCAACCUGGGAAGUGCAUUCCAAACUGGCAGGCUGGAGUCUUGGAUAGGGGGGUAGAAUUCCAGGUGUAGCGGUGAAAUGCGUAUAGAUCUUGAGGAAUACCGGUGGCGAAGGCCGACCUCUGGACUAAGACUGAGACUCAAGUGCGAAAGGGUGCGGAGCAAACAUGAAUAUAUACCCUGGUAGUGCACACCAUGGACGAUGUCCAUGUGUAGGUUGUGCCCUUUAGCAGUGGAUUCUCGAUCUAUGUCGUUAGAUCCACCGCCUGGAGAGUACUGCCUCAAGGUUAAUACUCAAAUGAAUUGAUCGGGUGCCACUCAAGCGCUCGAUCAUGUGGUUUAAUUUGAUGCUACGCGAAGAAGCUUACAUGGUCAUGACAUGCACUUAACAUUCCACAGAUCGAUUGGUGCGCUCGGGAAUUGUGACACAUGUGCUGCAUGACUGUCGUCACCUCCUGUUUACAAUGUUGCGUUGAAUCACGUACCAGGGCAUCUUUAUCCUUAUGUCAUGGC